UGGGGAAUCUUGCACAAUGGGGGCAACCCUGAUGCAGCGACGCCGCGUGAGCGAUGAAGCCCUUCGGGGUGUAAAGCUCUUUCGUCAGGGAAGAUAAUGACGGUACCUGGAGAAGCAGCUGCGGCUAACUACGUGCCAGCAGCCGCGGUAAUACGUAGGCAGCGAGCGUUGUUCGGAGUUACUGGGCGUAAAGGGUGUGUAGGCGGUUUUUUAAGUUUGGUGUGAAAUCUCCCGGCUCAACCGGGAGGGUGCGCCGAAUACUGAGGGACUAGAGUACGGGAGAGGAAAGUGGAAUUCCUGGUGUAGCGGUGAAAUGCGUAGAUAUCAGGAGGAACACCGGUGGUGUAGACGGCUUUCUGGACCGUAACUGACGCUGAAACACGAAAGCGUGGGUAGCAAACAGGAUUAGAUACCCUGGUAGUCCACGCCCUAAACGAUGCAUAUUUGGUGUGGGUCAUUCAGUUGAUCCGUGCCGGAGCUAACGCGUUAAAUAUGCCGCCUGGGGAGUACAGUCGCAAGGCUGA
Molecule: ribosomal RNA, 524 nt
Filed under: uncultured Acidobacteriota bacterium
Lineage: Bacteria; Pseudomonadati; Acidobacteriota
Description: bacterial SSU rRNA
Rfam family: Bacterial small subunit ribosomal RNA
Source: RNAcentral